This 432-nucleotide ribosomal RNA is filed under the name uncultured bacterium. Its description in RNAcentral is "partial 16S ribosomal RNA". It matches the Rfam family "Bacterial small subunit ribosomal RNA", at positions 29 to 506 of the family's 1533-position model. The record is from RNAcentral.
AACGAACGCUGGCGGCAUGCCUAACACAUGCAAGUCGAACGAGACCUUCGGGUCUAGUGGCGCACGGGUGCGUAACGCGUGGGAAUCUGCCCCUCGGUUGGGAAUAACUGAGAGAAAUUUCAGCUAAUACCUUAUAAUGUCUUCGGACCAAAGAUUUAUCGCCGAGGGAUGAGCCCGCGUAGGAUUAGGUAGUUGGUGGGGUAAUGGCCUACCAAGCCGACGAUCCUUAGCUGGUCUGAGAGGAUGAUCAGCCACACUGGGACUGAGACACGGCCCAGACUCCUACGGGAGGGAGGAGGGGGGAAUUUUGGACAAGGGGCGAAAGCCUGAUCCAGAAAUGCCGGGGGGGGUAUGAAGGCCUUGGGGUUGAAAAGCUCUUUUACCCGGGAUGAUAAUGACGGUCCCGGGAAAAAAAGCCCCGGCUAACCCCGG